Molecule: unclassified non-coding RNA, 232 nt
Filed under: Hevea brasiliensis (rubber tree)
Lineage: Eukaryota; Viridiplantae; Streptophyta; Magnoliopsida; Malpighiales; Euphorbiaceae
Source: RNAcentral
AGCUUGUUUCGGUUACAGAAUUCUAGUGUUAAUUUGUGUAUUGAUUUACUUAUAGUUAAUCAUUGGACUAAUUUACACUAGAAUUCUGUAACCGAAACAAGCUUCCAGUUUAAAAAAAGGAAUGGCAUCCACACUGACACUCUUGCUAUAGAAGCAAAACUACCAAGCUUUCAAUACAUUCUUUGGUAUUUCAAUUUUCAAAUAUCAGCAAUCACUAAUUUCUACAAUGACU